GAUUUUAAUUAGAGCCCGACCGAUAUAUCGGCCGGACGAUAUUAUCGGCCGAUAUGAGCUUAUUGCAUUUAAAUCGGCAUCGGCGUUUAUAACGGCCGAUGGAACAUGAGAAACGGAGUCUCAUGCUUUACUCAUGUUAUGAGUGUUGCAUAGUUUACCCACCAGAGGGAGCUCUGCAGCUCCAGAGUUGACAACAGCGCCAGAAAUCCACUAGCGAAGAAAGCGAUCAGCCAAGCCAGCCACGGAGAUUUUUUUUCUGUUUUGACGAUGGCUGAAAAAGGUGAAUGCUGUAGCAGCAAAGUGUCGGACUACUUCUGCAAAUACUUUAACUUUAGUAUUAUAAUUUAUUUACAGAACACACACAGACUGUUAAAACCAGCUUCAACUGGAAGAAAGUAAAAGUGUUAAAUGUUUAAAAUCAGACUGUUUUUUUGACCAUUAAAAAAUAUAUACUUUUGAUGUGCAAUUGUUUAGUCAUUGAGACUAUAAUCUAAGGCUUUUUUUUUUUUUUACAUAAUCUCUUCUGGAAAAUGGUUUAUACAGCCCACAUACAUAGAACAGGCAGAUAUUUUGCUAUUGAAUGUUGUGUAAGUGCAGUAUAUAGGAAAUGGGUCUAAUAUCCAGUUUAUUUUCAAAAUCAAAAUAUCGGCUUAUAAAUCGGCUUUUUUCGAGUUAAUAUCGGCAUCGGCCCCCAAAAAUCCAUAUCGGUCGGGCUCUAAUUUUAAUA
Carassius gibelio (silver crucian carp) is the source of this 727-nucleotide long non-coding RNA. RefSeq lists it as uncharacterized. The transcript is spliced from 2 exons. Lineage: Eukaryota; Metazoa; Chordata; Actinopteri; Cypriniformes; Cyprinidae. The record is from RefSeq and is a predicted model, not a curated record.